GAUGAACGCUGGCGGCGUGCCUAAUACAUGCAAGUCGAGCGAACAGACGAGGAGCUUGCUCCUCUGACGUUAGCGGCGGACGGGUGAGUAACACGUGGAUAACCUACCUAUAAGACUGGGAUAACUUCGGGAAACCGGAGCUAAUACCGGAUCAUAUAUUGAACCGCAUGGUUCAAUAGUGAAAGACGGUUUUGCUGUCUCUUAUAGAUGGAUCCGCGCCGCAUUAGCUAGUUGGUAAGGUAACGGCUUACCAAGGCGACGAUGCGUAGCCGACCUGAGAGGGUGAUCGGCCACACUGGAACUGAGACACGGUCCAGACUCCUACGGGAGGCAGCAGUAGGGAAUCUUCCGCAAUGGGCGAAAGCCUGACGGAGCAACGCCGCGUGAGUGAUGAAGGUCUUCGGAUCGUAAAACUCUGUUAUUAGGGAAGAACAAAUGUGUAAGUAACUAUGCACGUCUUGACGGUACCUAAUCAGAAAGCCACGGCUAACUACGUG
This 497-nucleotide ribosomal RNA is filed under the name uncultured bacterium. Its description in RNAcentral is "partial 16S ribosomal RNA". It matches the Rfam family "Bacterial small subunit ribosomal RNA", at positions 28 to 507 of the family's 1533-position model. The record is from RNAcentral.